Molecule: ribosomal RNA, 735 nt
Filed under: Phialemonium limoniforme
Lineage: Eukaryota; Fungi; Ascomycota; Sordariomycetes; Cephalothecales; Cephalothecaceae
Description: LSU rRNA
Rfam family: Eukaryotic large subunit ribosomal RNA
Source: RNAcentral
GUAGAGGACGCUUUUGGCGCGGUGCCUUCCGAGUGCCCUGGAACGGGACGCCAUAGAGGGUGAGAGCCCCGUAUGGUUGGACACCAAGCCUGUGUAAAGCUCCUUCGACGAGUCGGGUAGCUUGGGAAUGCUGCUCUAAGCGGGAGGUAAACUUCUUCUAAAGCUAAAUACCGGCCAGAGACCGAUAGCGCACAAGUAGAGUGAUCGAAAGAUGAAAAGCACUUUGAAAAGAGGGUCAAAUAGUACGUGAAAUUGUUGAAAGGGAAGCGCUCAUGACCAGACUUGCGCCGGGCGGAUCAUCCAGCGGUUUCCGCUGGUGCACUCCGUCCGGCUCAGGCCAGCGUCGGCUGUCGCGGGGGGACAAAAGCUCUGGGAAAGUAGCUCCCUCCGGGGAGUGUUAUAGCCCACUGCAGAAUAUCCCCGCGGCGGCCGAGGUCCGCGCCCUGCAAGGACGCUGGCGUAAUGGUCAUCAGCGACCCGUCUUGAAACACGGACCAAGGAGUCGAGGUUUUGCGCGAGUGUUCGGGUGCAAAGCCCCAGCGCGUAAUUAAAGUGAACGUAGGUGAGAGCUUCGGCGCAUCAUCGACCGAUCCUGAUGUAUUCGGAUGGAUUUGAGUAGGAGCGUAAAGCCUCGGACCCGAAAGAUGGUGAACUAUGCCUGUAUAGGGUGAAGCCAGAGGAAACUCUGGUGGAGGCUCGCAGCGGUUCUGACGUGCAAAUCGAUCGUCAAAUAAU